This 522-nucleotide ribosomal RNA is filed under the name Aspergillus brasiliensis. Its description in RNAcentral is "eukaryotic LSU rRNA". The stretch from base 155 to 308 matches the Rfam family "5.8S ribosomal RNA". Lineage: Eukaryota; Fungi; Ascomycota; Eurotiomycetes; Eurotiales; Aspergillaceae. The record is from RNAcentral.
UCCGUGUCUAUUGUACCCUGUUGCUUCGGCGGGCCCGCCGCUUGUCGGCCGCCGGGGGGGCGCCUCUGCCCCCCGGGCCCGUGCCCGCCGGAGACCCCAACACGAACACUGUCUGAAAGCGUGCAGUCUGAGUUGAUUGAAUGCAAUCAGUUAAAACUUUCAACAAUGGAUCUCUUGGUUCCGGCAUCGAUGAAGAACGCAGCGAAAUGCGAUAACUAAUGUGAAUUGCAGAAUUCAGUGAAUCAUCGAGUCUUUGAACGCACAUUGCGCCCCCUGGUAUUCCGGGGGGCAUGCCUGUCCGAGCGUCAUUGCUGCCCUCAAGCCCGGCUUGUGUGUUGGGUCGCCGUCCCCCUCUCCGGGGGGACGGGCCCGAAAGGCAGCGGCGGCACCGCGUCCGAUCCUCGAGCGUAUGGGGCUUUGUCACAUGCUCUGUAGGAUUGGCCGGCGCCUGCCGACGUUUUCCAACCAUUCUUUCCAGGUUGACCUCGGAUCAGGUAGGGAUACCCGCUGAACUUAAGCAUA